CCUACGGGUGGCAGCAGUGGGGAAUAUUGCACAAUGGGGGAAACCCUGAUGCAGCGACGCCGCGUGAAGGAAGAAGUAUUUCGGUAUGUAAACUUCUAUCAGCAGGGAAGAAAGUGACGGUACCUUAGGAAUAAGCCUCGGCUAACUACGUGCCAGCAGCCGCGGUAAUACGUAGGAGGCAAGCGUUAUCCGGAAUGACUGGGCGUAAAGGGUGCGUAGGUGGUUUGACAAGUUAGUAGCGCAACUCCGGAGCUCAACUUCGGAACUACUACUAAAACUGUUGGACUUGAGUGCAGGAGGGGCAAUCGGAAUUCCUAGUGUAGCGGUGGAAUGCGUAGAUAUUAGGAGGAACACCAGUGGCGAAGGCGGAUUGCUAGACUGUAACUGACACUGAGGCACGAAAGCGUGGGGAGCAAACAGGAUUAGAUACCCGUGUAGUC
Molecule: ribosomal RNA, 440 nt
Filed under: uncultured bacterium
Lineage: Bacteria
Description: partial 16S ribosomal RNA
Rfam family: Bacterial small subunit ribosomal RNA
Source: RNAcentral